This 77-nucleotide small nucleolar RNA is filed under the name Oryzias latipes (Japanese medaka). RNAcentral's name for it is "Small nucleolar RNA SNORD2 (ENSORLG00020000674.1)". It matches the Rfam family "Small nucleolar RNA SNORD2". The record is from RNAcentral. Lineage: Eukaryota; Metazoa; Chordata; Actinopteri; Beloniformes; Adrianichthyidae.
GAGUGAUAUGAUGGCAUACCAUCUUUCGGGACUGACUGAAACAUGGAGAGUCCUUUUUAUUGUUGUACUGAUCACUC